Metarhizium album ARSEF 1941 is the source of this 120-nucleotide ribosomal RNA. Lineage: Eukaryota; Fungi; Ascomycota; Sordariomycetes; Hypocreales; Clavicipitaceae. The record is from Rfam.
ACAUACGACCACAGCCGCUAGAGAAGCUCGGGAUCCCGUCCGAUCUCCUAGGAGAAACUAGCGAGCGCCAGAUUAGUAGUUAGGUCGGAGACGACUAGCGAAUUCCUGGUGUUGUAUGUU